CCCGAACCUCAGUGUGAACAGGGAUUCUGCAGCUCUGGCAGUUCUUAAAGCUGAUCACACACAACUUUUCUACCUUUCCUCUAGGAAUAAAGCUACAAAAAAGUAAAAACAGAAAAAACAAAUGACCACUAUUGGGGUUCUCCCAUUAAUAGCCUGGGUGACAUGCAGGUAGGUUCAAACAUUAUCAUGCCAGAAACUGGCAGCCCGUAUAGGUCAGAUUGAAGACUUAAUACUGCUCCAGAACAAUAUGUUGUUUUAACAACUGUCAGCUCGUCUCUGUUUAGUACAUUUGGAAUUUGGGGAGUAGGGGAGGGGGAAAUCACGUGAGAGUUACUAGCUUGCCUGACAUCUUUCUGGCUUGAUUAUGAACAUAGAAACAAGUCUUAUAAAUGAAUCAAAAUGGUCUGUUCAGCUUGGUAUUGUCUACUGCAGCUGUCAGUGGUUUGCCAUGGCUUCAGAAAGAGGAGCCUUCCCCAAUCCCGGUUGACAAUACCUUCCUCAUGGGAAGCAGAAUUUUCCAUGAAGGUGAAAACUUGAUUUGACAAUUGGCCAGCUGAAAUAAUGUGCCUCCUAAAUAAUAAAUACUUCCAACAUUUUACACCUAGAAUUUAUUUAGCAACUGGAGACACUUACCCUCAUUUAUUCAAAUAGGGAAGACAACAUCUAUUGUACUCACACUAUAAAGUCUUCUGCCAAGCUGCCAGUUUCAGAACCCUAUUCAACCAUGAAAUUCACUGAUAGCUUUGGGGUCGUUCCUGCCCAUUAAUCAAGCCUACUUCACUGGGUUGUAGGAGGAUGAAAUGAGAAUAUAUUGUAACCAACCAUGGAUUCUAGGGGGGAAAGAAAGUCAAAAGUUAGUAAGUUCUAGUAAUGCUUCCCUACUGAAUGUGAAUUUUUUUUAAAAAAAAAAUAGACUCAUAGAUGCUGCAAGUCUUAACACUGAAUGUUCAACAUAUAGCUGUGCAAGGUAUUUUCCAUUUUCCUUUCUCCGAAAACUGCACUGCACUGACAAUACAGUGUUGAGACUUGCAGCAUCUACGAGUUCUGUGUUUCCAUUCCACCUCCCUCCUCUUUUCUGCCAUUGCCUUAUGAUCGCAAGUAUUUGUGACCUACAGCUGUAAGGGCUUGAAGCCCAAAGCACACAAAAAAUCUCUACAUAUGGCAUCACUCUCUUGGCUGAUUGACUGAGCUGCAUGUAAUCUAACGUGACUGAUAUGCUCAGAUGUGAUGUGACACAUCUCUGUGCAGGCUGUGGUGCUGUAAACCAUUUUAUAAGUCAGUUUAAUUAGAAUGAUGAGCUUCUUAGUAGGCUGACCCUACAUUACAUCAGCGGUCACUACCCCAGCACUGGGACACUAUAAUGCAGUGGCAAUCCUAUGCGACUAUCAGCAGCAAAGCUGAAUCACAAGGAUAGCUCUAAAAGCAAAAACUGGUACACCACCAGCUUCUACAAAAUCCUUGGCAGCUCCUUUCACCAACUACUGUGAUGCUUGCCAAUCAUGACUCUUCAACAGCCAGAACACCUAGAAAUUUUGGGUAAUUAAGCAGUAUACAGUAUAAGUAGCUCAAAUAAAUAAAUACAUGGGUGGCAACUGCUGGAGCAUUAGGCAGAUGUCACAGAGCCUAGUCCUUCAACACUGCAAACUCAGACACACUGCUAGGUAGGGCGCCUUGGAGAAGAAAAGUUGUCCCAAGCAGUUUUGGUUUUUAUUUAGAAGAGCUAAACAUUUCUCUUUAUAAAUAAGUUCCUCAAAACUCAUUCAGAACCAUGUACUAUGGGGUGCUGUCCUCUUUGUUGCUGUUGUUCCUAUACUGAAACGGCCCUAGGUGGUGCUGUAGCCCAGUGGGAAAGUUUAGGCUUAGAAUUCAAGAGAGAUUGGGUAAGAUCCUUGGCUAUAACCUUUCCAGGGAAAGGGCUGGAGUGAAGCAGGCUGGCUGCAGCUCUCCAGGAUUUCAGGAAAUACUGAGACUAGGGCUUUUUCACACAAAGCAGGUGCUGUACUGCUGAGCUCUUCCCUGUGGACUGGAAGAAGCAGGACUCCAGACCACCGAGUAAGGGAGAGCUAGGAUAUGCAGGCAGUUAUAGACCUUGGAAUGGUUUUACAAGUGCUUUCCAUGCAGAAACAAAGGAAAAGUCCAUGGCUUGAUGAAUAAGGGAGGAAGAGGUUGCAUGUGACUGACUUUUCUAUACUGGGUUGAAUAUUUUAUUGCCUUUCCCCUUUAGAUCUCCAGGAAGCCCAUCAAUAGGUAUAUAUUGAAGCUUUGAUCGGCCUGGAACUGUGUGGAUAAAGGUUGUUUAUAUCAUCUGGAGCAGGCAUCCCAAACCUUUGGCCCUCCAGAUGUUUUGGACUACAAUUCCCAUCAUCCCUGACCACUGGUCCUGUUAGCUAGGGAUCAUGGGAGUUGUAGGCCAAAACAUCUGGAGGGCCACAGGUUGGGGAUGCCUGAUCUGGAGGGUCUACAGUAUCUGAAGAGAGGGUGGGAGACUUCUCUGAACCAACAGGAUAUUUGUACACUUGCAGCCAAAUUCACCCUUUGUGACUGCUCCUGUGCCAGAUCACCUUUUCAUGCAGAAAAAGAAAGAGAAGACUUUUUGAGUCAAGGUUAAGGGAAAGCACUCAAAAUGGCAUGGGAAUGAAAUCUCAUGGCCCCAGCGCCCUGAAGUCCUUAUUUCUAAACCUGAAAAUAUGGGUGCUUUCCCUAAGGGAGGGGGGAUAUGGCUCUACUGAUUGCUAUGGAGAGUCCUCUGCAUGCAGAUGUUGCACCCGGAUGAGGAAGGAUGAUAGUCUAUGUUUUCACCAUCUGUCAACAUGAUUAGAAAUAGUUUCUUGCUACCAAUCCUUUGGGGCAGAAAUUUAAUCUGACCGCAUAUACAGACACAGGAGAGAAUAAAGGCAAGAUAUACCAGACCAUAGAUUUAAACCUCUAAGCAAAUGAUCCUGAAUGGACUUCUCCUUGCUCUCCUUCCCGUGCACAUGAAUCUGUUUUCUCUCUGUUGUUUUAAUCUUGCAAAUUCGUUUCCCCCCCUCCAAUUGGUUUGCUCAGCAGUGAUGAUUAUGCAGGAGAGAAAUGGCAAAGGGGGUCAGGCAGCAAAUGAAUGAGGAGUGAAAUCUCAAAAGAUGCUAAAUGAAUAUUUAUGCAGCACGAUCUUCACUCUCACAUCACAGCACAUAAUGGGAUCAGCAGAAUUCCUGCUGGGUGAGCUGACUCUGUGAAAACUUAGUUUAAUCUAUACAUUAGGUGGACACCCCACAAGCCAAGAGAGAGCCUUCAACACCAUGUGAAAUAUUUAUUAAAGAUUCUAAUUUCGAAAUGUGUCUAUAUUCCGAUAGGUAAUAGGAAGGGGGAAGAAUCUUGCAUAAUAAUUCAAAGCUAAGGAAACUGAAGAAAAAUGAAUAGCUGGAAUGAUUUUCUGGCUUUGUGAGCGUUUAUUAAUCUCAAGUAUUUCUUUAAGCAAAUUAACUUUUAUUAGCCGUUAAAACAUGUUGGCCUAUGCCUUUAAGCUGGGGUAGCAUUAACAGGAACAGGUUCAGACAUGGAACAUGGUGCAGCUGCUGUGUGUGUUUGUGAGUGACUGAGUGAGAUGGAAAGUAAGGAACAAGGAAAGGAGGAAAAAUCAUAUUGUAAACUCCUGAUGCCUUAGGUGAUGUGUCCAACAAAGAUAAGAACUUACAUCUAAUGUUUAUUUUAUUAAAUUUAUAUCCUACCUCCCCAGAGGAAAGAGCCCAAGGCGACAUCUUUGUUGAUAGCACCACUUUCUAGCUGUCGCUGAAUAACACAGUCAAGUUUCAAGCUCUGCAUAUACAUGUAUAUUUGGAUCAGAUUUUCCUAUGGUUUAUUCAGAUGUGAAGUUCAAAGACUGGCCCUCCUCUUGAUUAAAUCCUUUAUGAGAUUAUUCACAAUUCAAAGGCAAUAGCAUAAUAAUGUAACUGAAUUUUACCUGUGCUUAUGCUUAUUUAAUGGGUUUGUUUUUAAAAGAUAUUUUAUUGUUCCUUAUAUGGGAUAUAAAUAUUGUUGGAAAAACAAGCAUCCACCCAGUUUAACCAUAAGGGAUAGUUGGGGGUAGCCUUGUUAUGGAGUUAGAGUAUUUGUUUUCAGAGGAGGAAGAAUAGAUAUACUACUGUUUCCCUUUGUCUAUUCAAAGACUGAAUGACAAUGGAUACUUCGUUUCAUCUCAGCAAUAAGUCUCAAGUUUAGACUCAAGUCUUAAUCAUUUGGUAAAACUCCGAAGAGGAUUCUCCAUAUGUUACCUUGUUUCAUUUUCUGCUGGAUGUCCUUUUCUUUGCAAGUGGAUUGUUAUUUUAAUAGCAUGGCAUGGUUAGGGGAGAAAGUUGUAUCACUGGUCAUUAGUGAUGUCACAAGCACUAUGCAUUAGGUGCCAUGAAAAUCACAUAACCAGACAACCCUGGUAAUGGCAUUCUUACCUAUGUUACUAUUUAUAGUUACUAUUGCAUCCAGUAUCAGGGAAAGUUGCUCAUGAGUGGGACCAUGUCACUGUGCUCAUGUCCUGCUUGUGAAGAGGAAGAAGAGUUUGGAUUUGAUAUCCUGCUUUAUCACUACCCUAAGGAGUCUCAAAGCAGCUAACAAUCUCCUUUUACCUUCCUCCCCCACAACACACACUGUGUGAGGUGAGUGAGGCUGAGAGACUUCAGAGAAGUGUGACUAGCCCAAGGUCACCUAGCAGCUGCAUGUGGAGGAGCGGGGACGUGAACUCGGUUCACCAGAUUACGAGUGCACUGCUCUUAACCACUACAUCACACUGGCUCUGAGCUUCACAGAGGCAUCUGGUUGGUCACUGUGAGAAGGAGAUGCUGGACUAGGUUCCUUCUUGCAUUCUUAUAUACCUGUGAAAAGAAUCAGAUGUUGUUAUCCUGAUAACAGUAAAGUAAAAGCAGAUUUGAAUGAAUGUUUUCAAUGCAUUGUUGGUUUGAGAGAACCAAGAUUUGCUCUCCAAUACGAUUGCCCUAAUAAAUAUAAUUCUCCAUAGAGACUACACCCUACUUGUAGUCCAGAUGCAUACUAUAUGAUGUCAUUGUAUGCAAAGAUGAAGGUGGUCAUCCUUUCAAAUUGAUGCCCUUGAGUAGAGAGGUGAGUCAGUAAUGGGAAUGGCCAGUAGCUAAGGGUGCAAGCCUAUUUGUGAGGUGGUGGCAGUGACCAUACAUUAACCUCAUGUUUAUUUCCCACAGCUCUAAAAAGGGGAUUAGACAAAUAGACAAAUGAGGCUACCAAUGGCUACUAGAUACAGGUAAUUCUUCCAACUGUUUUUUAAAAAUAUGCAAUGUUUUUAUAUGUGUUUUUAUUGUAUUAUAAAAUUGCAGUGGGGAGCCUGCUCUUCUCAUUUAUGCUAACUGCGUAUUUUAGGAACCUGGUUUUCCAGAAUUCUUAGACACGUGGGGAGCUUGCACAAAUAGUUCCCUACUGCAGAGAGUCACCCUCUAACUUGUGGAGGGCAAUGGAGGGAACACGAAACAGGAUGCUUGUCCCCAUAUGAUAUUGUGUGGUGAUAGGAACACCUUCUAUAGCUUCCUGACUAGGGCAGACAGCUGUACAGCAAGCUACAUCUGUCCAGAUUCCCCCUACUACAAAAGUGCUAAGAGAUGCAGAAGUCCUGCACACUUUUGCAUUGGGCCCUCUGACUGGUGUGUUAAACUAGUAGCACUGGAAUCCUUUUGUCGACAUUUCUUUAUAAUUAUACAAACUCACUUCCUCUGUCCUCACCCUUCUUGUGGGCACACCCGUGAACCCAGGCUGUGUACAUGCUCCCAUUUACUCUGCACCCAAUGUGCUCCCACCACUAGUCUGGGAAAUGGUUUGUGUACAUAGAGCAUUAGCCACAAUCCAGAUUGAUCCUGUAUCUAUCCUGCUGUUCCUAAUGAAAUGGUGUGUUUUGAUGCGUUUUCCCCAAACCAGUUUCAAUUUGAAUUGGGACAAAAGACCUAGCUGCGUUUUAAGCUACACAGCUAUCAUUUCCCUAAUUCUGGCAUUUGAUAAACAAUAACAAUAGGCUUUUAGAUGACUGGUGUUUAUCCCGUCAUUUAUCUUUGCCACAAUGUUAUAAAUACACAGAACUUAAAAUAUAAAAUUUUAUGACUUAAAAAUAAAUGUACAUGUUUUAUGCAGCCCUGAUACCAGAAAAGAAGCCCUUGUUUUACUUCAAAUGCUUCAGCUGCAUUUUCGUAAGUGUGGGAUUGGGAAGUUGUUGUUUUCUUUUGUUUGUUUGUUUUCCAGAGUGUUUUUUUUAAACUAUCUCAUUGGCUGGCACUGAACGGUUUGAGCUGUAUAAAUUAAGGAGACGUGUCUUUGUGUGCGUGCGUGUGUGUGUGUGUGUGUGUGGCGCCAACUCACUAUUCCAAAUCCUAAAGUGUGGGAGUGUGGAUAAUAGUGACAAUCGAAAUGCAAAACCAUAAAACCAUACCUUUGCAGAUCUCCAUAAAUAUUAAUGCUGAUGUUUAGUGAUCUUGCUAAUUUUAUUCUUUUCUGUGCCUGCACUUCCCUUUGAAAAAAGCAACAGCCAGAAACAUCUUUCUGACAAUUUUCCUCCGUUAAAAGCUAGUGACAAAGGUCUCUAAUACUUCAGAUUAUACUCAAGGGCUAAGAUGCUUUUACAAAACACAAGGAACUGUUUGCUUUUAUUCUGCUGACGUUCAUUUUCCUAUCUUUCAUUGUGAAACCGGCUGAGCCUGUGGGCAUGUGUGGAUGGAAGAUGUUAAAAAUAGAAAGUGUAGCCUAACAACUGGCUUCUGAUUGGCUAGCGACAAAAUCUGCCUGGCCUAUGGGAGCCGCUGAGAACAAAAGCAAUUCAGCCUGUGUUUGUGUGAAGCGCUUUAUCCACGUCAAAGAGCUCCCGGCUGUAGAAAUUAUUUUGGUUGCAGUUUAGCAAGGUAAUAAGCAGCUCAGCCCGCCCGAGAAGGUUGAGGACAAAACAAAGGCGUAUUAGCAUCUACAAAGCACAAAUGUUUGGCAAUACAGAGCUGCGAAUCCUUCGAAGUUCCAGGAAGGAGAGGCAAAAAAACCCCAAUGGAUUUUACAAAAUGCAUGCACAAACAAAAGACUCAAGAGAUUUUGUUGCUUCCACCCCCCCUUUUUUGACCCCUCAUAGCUUUUUCAAAAUCACUGAAUAUUUCCUUGCAGCUUUCUGAACUCAUUUACCCAAGUUUUUUUUUUAAACACACACACACGAGAGCAGCUUGGUGCCAUGCUGCGACUUGUGUUCUGUAACCAACAAAAUUGCCAUUAGUAACUAUGGCAAUAUGAAAAUCCUGCAGGACAUUCAGUUUGCUUUUCAGAUGGGAUAAGCAUCAACUACACGGCGGAAAUGGUUCCACUAGAGGCCACUGUUGGCCCAAAAAACCUCUAAUGCUGUCACUCGUGAAGCUCAAGUGAAGAAACUCUACAGUUGCUAUUGUUCCAAUGGCUUGUGCAUGUUCUUAGAUACACAUUAUCUCAAAAAAGCAAGACUGAACGCUAAGGUGUAUCGCUGCUUAGGUUCAAAAAAAUUCCCACAGAAUUCUUGCCAGCGGAUUUAUCAGAUGUGGAAACCAGAGCAAGGAAGAUGACUAUGAGCUGGAAUUUCCCCUCUCUUAUAUAUGCAAAUGAAGAUCCUAUCGGCAAGGGAGAGCCACAAUCUUAGCCAACCACCCCAGCCACCAGACCAGUCACACUGCCGGAUAAUCUAAAGCUGAACUGCUUUCUCCAGGUUGCAGUGGGAUAGUCAAAACAACAAAGGUCUGAGAUGCAGUAGUGGCAAAAUAUUACAGAGAGGGAGAAUUAGCUGAAGAAUUGAGGGGCACAAGCCUUAGGAACAUAUGAUGAUUGGAAGCUGCCCUACACCACCUCAGACCAUUGAUCCAUCUAGCUCAGUACUGUUUACACUGGCUGGCAGUAGCUCCUCCAGGGUUUCAGGUGGGAGUCUCUCUUAGCCCCACCUGGAGAUGCUGGGGAUCAAAACCUGGGGUGGUCACAUGACAUGCAUUCCAUGAGCUUCUUGUUGUUGCAGUUCCUCUUCACAAUUCUUUCUAGGUUUUGGCACAGAAGCUGCUUUGCUCUCCCUGUCAGGGGAAGAGACAAGAGAAGUGUGUCCCUGUUAAUUCUCAUUGACCUCUCAGCAGCUUUCGACACCAUCAACCAUGGUAUCCUUCUGGAGCGGCUGUCCGAGUUAGGGGUGGGUGGCAGAAUGCACAGAAAGGUAUACAUUUCCUACAAAAGAGAUAUAGAACUUUUGAUUCCUGAGUAAGCUAAAGCUAUCCAAUAUUAGAAGCACAGAGGAAGGCAGCACAGCAGUAUUUUUUAAACACGUGUUUUUAUGGGCAUUUUCUUUCUUACACAUUGUUUUGCUCCUCCUCUGUCCUCUUUGGGCUCCAGGGAGGGUCUCCUUGCAAGCCACAAGGACUCUACAGUUCUUUCCCACCAUUUCCUGGUAUAAUUCUAUUCAUUUAAUUAUUUCCCAACACCACAUAUAUAUGCAGACAUGCACAUGUAGAACGCAUGUACAAGUGUGUGGGGGGGUGGAUACCUGUAUAUUAGAGAACCACCAACUGGAAUUUCUUUUUAAAGGGACAGUUUACUUAUUCCAACAUUUGCAUUUUGGACACAGUGGUAGAGCCCCAGGAAUCUUUAAAGGAUAUAGCCACACUGCGACCAAACACUGGCACCCAUCUACUGUAUUAAUUUGUGGGCAUUCAUUUAUGGUAAUAGUAAAAAUGCUUAAUACUAAAUGGAUGUGGAUUAUAAACAUUUAACAGCUAAACAUAAAGGUGUCUCAUUAAGCUAUAAUCUGCUUUUUAAUAAACAGCAAGCCAAAGCACAAUAAAUGUGUUUUGUCACUGUGCAUGCAAUAGCAUGAUGCUAAAGUAAGAAAUUGAUGCUUUUGAAUUAUGGUGUUGGAGGAGACUCUUGAGAGUCUCAUGCACUGCAAGAAGAUCAAACCUAUCCAUUCUUAAGGAAAUCAGCCCUGAGUGCUCACUGGAAGGGCAGAUCGUGAAGCUGAGGCUCCAAUACUUUGGCCACCUCACGAGAAGAGAAGACUCCCUGGAAAAGACCCUGAUGUUGGGAAAGAUUGAGGGCACAAGGAGAAGGGGACGACAGAGGACGAGAUGGUUGGACAGUGUUCUCGAAGCUACCAGCAUGAGUUUGACCAAACUGUGGGAGGCAGUGGAAGACAGGAGUGCCUGGUGUGCUCCAUGGGGUCACGAAGAGUUGGACAUGACUAAACAACUAAACAGCAACAACAAAGUAAGAAAAUAAGGCCGAAUACCCUUCUAGCCCGGGAUGUGGGUGGCGCUGUGGGUUAAACCACAGAGCCUAGGACUUGCCGAUCAGAAGGCUGGCGAUUCAAAUCCCUGUGACGGGGUGAGCUCCCAUUGCUCGGUCCCUACUCCUGCCAACCUAGCAGUUCAAAAGCACGUCAAAGUGCAAGUAGAUAAAUAGGUACCGCUCCGGUGGGAAGGUAAACAGCGUUUCCGUACUCUGCUCUGGUUCGCCAGAAGCGGCUUAGUCAUGCUGGCCACAUGACCCGGAAGCUCUACGCCGGCUCCCUCAGCCAAUAAAGGGAGAUGAGCGCCACAACCCCAGAGUCGUCCGUGACUGGACCUAAUGGUCAGGGGUCCCUUUAUCUUUACCCUUCUAGCCCAGCAUCCUGUUCUCACAGUGGCUGUCCAAAUGCCUGCAGCAGCAAUCAGGACCUGAGUGUAACUCUCCCCACCUCUGAUACUCAGCAGCUAUGAUUCAGAAGCAUACUCCUUCCUGCUGUGGAAGGUAGAGCAUAUCCAUCAUGGCUAGUAGUCAGUGAUAGACUUAACCUCCAGGCAUUUGUCUAAUCCUCUUUUGCAGCCAUCCAUUGCUACAUUUAAUGGGAGCAAAUUCCAUAGUUUAACUGUGCACUAUGCGAAGAAGUACUUAACUUUUGUCCACCCUGAAUCUUCCAACAUUCAGCUGCGUUUGAGUUAUUAAAGAUUCAAAUGGUAUAGUAUGUAAAUACCAAUGAUGGGAUCAGACAUACUGGAUUAACCUUUCUACCUUUGUUCAGCUGAAAACACUAAGCGGUUACUACAUCAUGGAUGUGCACAAUUAAAUUGGGUCUUUGAUAGUGAAUAACUGAGCUCAUGUGCAAAAUGAGAAGACUGACAUUUAGACAUAACGUUGGAUGGAGAAAUCAUUCCGUCUCAGUUGAGUAAAAUAUUUAAGUAGAAGCUUAUACUUUGCUCAACUGAGGUCUCGUAGUCCGUUAUGGAACACUUAUUAUUUCCUUGUGACAUAUAGCUGAAGAGCUUACAGUGGAUGAAGCCCAAUGAAUUUUAUUACUGCAUUCUGUAUAUCUGUAAGGGAUUCUGGGAAUGAGGCUUUACUCAGUAAUAUUUACUGGGUGACCUCAGAGUUGGAGAGCAAUCUGAAGCCCUAGCUGGGAGCAGUGGGGCAGAAUGGAGUGCCAGAUUACUGCUGCAUCCAGAACGCUGCAACUUCAGCUGACAGGGUGGGGAGCUGGCUAUUUCAAACUACUUCUUUUUUCUGUGCUAGGCUGGGUCCAGGCGUGUGUGAUGGACUGGUCCAAACUGGGCCUUCUCUAGGAAAUGGGUUCAGCUUUGGAUCCAACAGAUCCAUCACCAACCUGAUAUGAUCAUUUUGGCAACAACAAAAAAGCACCGCCUUGAAAUCUCCAUCAUAAUUGAUCAUAAACUAAACAUGGAUCUGCUGCAGGCACUUUUAGCACUUGAGAGGGAUCUCUACCCCAAGAUUCCAUCUCAGGCCUUGGUUUCUUUUCUGAUAGCCACUGCCAGAAUGGAAACAGCAGUCAGGUGGAAAACAGGGGCAUGUCUUACUUUGUAAUCUUGGUUCAUCCAUAUAUGAGAAAUAGCAUUCAAACACUUGACUCAGCAAAGCAGGGCAGAGCAAGCAAUACAAAUUUCUAAGUACAUGGUAUUUGUUUAUUGAGUAUAUAAACAAAUCAGCCUCAUUGCUUGCAGCGGUUCUCAACCUGUGGGUCCCCAGAUGUUGUUGGACUACAACUCCCAUCAUCCCUGAGCUCUGGCCUUGCUAGCUAGGGGUGAUGGGAGUUGUAGUCCAACAUCUGGGGACCCACAGGUUGAGAAAGGCUGGCUUACAGCCUCCCAUGAUACAUAUUUUGCUAUGGAAAGUCUUAAUUCAGCAAUGAAUUACCAUUGUGUGUCCCUUAAUUAUGACAAAUGUGAUUGACAAACUAUACUCCAAGUUUUGUUUAGUUUGUGUUUAUGCUUCUUCUGUAAAAGAAAGUGUAAUAAAAUACAUUUUUAAUUCAAAAAAUGGAGUUGGGAGGAUGCUAUUGCACCAGCUGAAUUCAGCUCAUCUUGCAAAACAAAACCACACUCCAGACUUACUCAUAUGAGCAUCCACUAGCCAUAACAGGGGUUAGAUCAACAAGUUUGAUGCCAAAAUACACAUCUAUUUAAAUCCCCUGGUGAUUCAGAACAAUCAGCACAUUUGAAAACCAGACCAGCUAACUAUGAACUCAGUAAUAUGAUUCCAAGCUCUACAAAUAAAUAAUAAUAAUAAUACAAUUCUGCCACAAAGGAGAAGACUGAAAAAUGUACAAAUUUAAAAUUGUAAUGUAUUUGUGUGCUGAGAUUUUGUGGUGCUCUUUUGUAAGAUUUAUUAAUGCCUCCUGAGUGAUCUUUUUAAAAAAACAAUUGUUCACUGUUUUUUGCUUUCUGCAUCCUCAUAAGCCCUGCUGUUAGUUUUAGAUUGUCCACCCAUUGCAUCAGUGGUUGUCCCCUUGGUCUUUAAAAUUGUAGGGUCUCCAUGCUAACACUGCUUUAACCCAUUAGCCUAAGUCGGUCUCCAUGCUAACACUGCUUUAACCCAUCAGCCUAAGUCAUCUCUUGUCACAUGUCCUACAUAUGUCUAUUUUAACUUUGUGAAGCUAUAGCUGAGUCUGUGAGAUAUAUAUAUAUGUAUAUGCUUGAAAAAUGUAUUCCAUGCAAAUGGAAUUCUAACAACUCCUUAAUAGCACUCCUUAAUGCAGCAAUAAGAUUAUUUUCAUUGCCCACUACAGAGAUACAGCCAAACCCUACUGGCUGGAGUUCUUGGGCAGAAAAAGGAAUGAAUUUGCUACCAGAUCUGAUCCAGGUGCAUAGAAUUAAUAAAACGGAUAACUGUUUUUAUUCUAAUAUAUUGCAUUUCAAUACAUCAACCAUUUAAUACAUACUCAAGUAUAUUAAAGAUAGACAAAGUCCACAUUUACUUUACAUGCAAAACUAAUGUAGUACUAAUGUAAAGAUACUAGUCUAAAUAAGCAGAGUUAAAGACUUCGUUCUCCGAAAAGUUUGUGGUAGUCUGAAACCGCCCUACUUGACUGAUUGAAGAGCCAAACUUAAGCAUGCCAGAGAUGGGGAAAGUUAGAGAUAACAGUGCUGUGUGCAUUGUACUAAGAAUCUAUUCAGAGAAUCAGAGAAUUGUGGAGUUCGAAAGGACCCUGAGGCUCAUCUAGUCCAACCCCCUGCAAAAUCUCAACUAGAUCAUACAUGACAGAUGGCCAUCCAGCCUCGACUUCCAAACCUCCAAGGAAGGAGAAUCCACCACCUCUUGUGGGAGUCUGUUAAGGUAAAGGUAAAGGUACCCCUGCCCGUACGGGCCAGUCUUGCCAGACUCUAGGGUUGUGCGCUCAUCUCACUCUAUAGGCCGAGAGCCAGCGCUGUCCCUGACACUUCGGUCACGUGCAGCGUGACAAGCAUCUGGCGAGCCAGCACAGCACACGGCGCCUUCCCACGUAAGCGGUCCUAUUAUCUACUUGCACCCGGGUGCUGCUAGGUUGGCAGGCGCUGGGACCGAACGACGGGAGCGCACCCCGCCGCGGGGAUUCGAACCGCCGACCAUGCGAUCGGCAAGUCCUAGGCGCUGAGGUUUAACCCACAGCGCCACCUGCGUCACUUUACCCUAAUUAAUUUACUCCUAUCCAAUCUAGCCAUCUACCUAAUUCUACUAUUUGAACAAUAUAGAAGCAAAAAGCACAUUAGAAACCUACAGCAAUAAAGGCCAUUAACAUGAUCGGAUAUAUUUUCAGAAAUCAAAAAAUUGAUGCCAAUUCUAUUUUUUUCUUUCUACCUUCAUAAAUCAUACACUGAACAAUAUAUCUGUAUUUUUAACCAUGCAGCUUUUUAAAGUUUUGGUCUCCAUUAAACUGUCAUCUUUGUCAGAACUCUAUGAGCAUGUCACAAAUAAUUAAAAGCCUCCUCAAAAGACAAUUUGAGAUUCAUUAUUGUCAGGGGUUCAGGAGCAGAGGCAAGGGCAAGGGAGGAAACAGAGAGCGAGGGGGAGGAGGCAGAAGAAAAGAUGAGUGAUGACGACGACCCGAGAUCUCCGAGUCUUUCCAGUGAAUCAGAAGAUUCACAGAAAGGAGCACCAGUGGCCAGGGCAAGGGGAGCCUAGGGGGCACCCCAGGAAGAUAGAGCCAGAGGGGACUCAGAGGGAGCAGUUGGAAAUCGGGACCAACGUCACCGCCAGAGAGCAGGGAAGAGGAAGGGCGCCAGGGAUCAAGCGCUGGCAACUCACAACAGGGGGGAGGGCACGAGUCAGGAGUGGCCACACCUCCAUCGGGGAGCGAAGAAACGGUCAGACGGAAGGUGGACGGUGGGGCGCGCGCGCCCAGUUCAAAUGCACAGGAAGGUGGCGCAGUAGGCAGCCCGGAAAGGGAGCCAGGUCCUAAAGCCCGCCGAAAGGAGGGAGAAGAGUCAGGGGAGUCAGCGUCAGCGUCAGAGGAAUCCCGGAAGGAAGAGACCCCGGGGGGCAGAGGGACCCAGAGAAGAACAGUCAGGCGGAAAAGGUGGAGCAGGGCUAGGAUAUUAAGUUGGUGUACAAGGGGCGGAGACUCAGACGGAGCUUCGCCGGUCUAAGCAUGAGACGUAGAGUUGCACGCAGCAGCUUGAGAAUGGAAACUGUAACUCAAUAAAGACUUUUGUUUAAUGAUCGCUGGCUAGCGUGAUCCUCUGUGAGCUAGGAUCUGGAAGCAGCUCUGACAAUUAUCGAUCAAGAUUCUGCCUCCUCAAAAGAAGGCUAUCAUUUUCAUGGCAGUCAGAAGACAUGUCCCUUUGAGGAGGACGACACUUGGCCUUACUCCAGCUAUUGAUAUUUCUAAGUGAUUAAAUCUGACCUCAGUGUUGCGUGCCACACCAAGAGCUCCUAUUAUAUGUUCCAUCUUUCGGUAAUGGGCUUUGGCAACUGCCUGUCUUUAAUCCACAUAGCUUCCUGCUUUUGACUGAAAUAAUACACAGUCUAUAAGCAUCCAAUAGUGGGAUCAAUUUGUUAAAUGAAGUUUUUGGAAGUCUCUGACUCCUCUAGAGAACCUGUCACAGGACAAGUCACACACCUUUGCGAUGGACACAGAGCCACUGCAGACGUUCCAGAGAAACCACAAGAAAGCAAGGAUAUGUCGUUUGCACUUAACCCUCCUAGUUUCUUAGUGGGUGGCCACGUCUUACGGUGGGAGGUGCACCUCUACCAAAAUGAAGGAAAAGACUUUGCCUCUUCCAGUUUCACAUAACACCCAAAAUGCAUGAGGAGACAAAGAACAAGCUUGUUUGCCUCAAAUAAAGCAAUAAAGUAAUUAAGAUUUUUUUAAAAAAAAUUCUUUCAUGACAUCAACUAUUUAAAACAUCAAAGCAUGAAUGUGUAGAUUCAGAUCAGAAAAUGAUUAAAGGGAAGGGGCUUAAAAAACCUAAAUCAAAUUUAAACCUAAAACCAUUUCAACAAAACCAAAUAAAUUCAGAUGCAAUUACAGAUAUUCCACUGCCUCCUCUAAUAGCAUUCUCAGCAGUAAUCAGCAUCUGAAAUACCCUCCAAAAUAGAAGUUGGCAAUUUCCCUAAAACUGUGGAAAGAAUAUAUCUAUAAGCUCCCCUGUAAGUAAGCCUCCCUGGACAUGAAAUUUCCAUAACUGGAGCACCACUACUAAGAAGGCUUGAGAUCUUGCCACCUCUUGCUAUGCCUCUGAUGCUUCCUUUCUGCCCACUUAUCUGGAACAUGGAAAGUAAUUAAUUCUCUGAGCAGCGUUCAGUGUGUCCUUACUUAUCCAUAGAGUGGUUAGAAAUCAGUGCUCCAGGGACUAAGUGAGAGAUUUCCUAAUCCAACAUGAAGCCAUUCAUAGCUGUGUUGAAGAUCAAACAACACACCUCAGACACAAAUUCCUUUUCCUCCUAUUGUUGAAUCAUGAGUAUAUUAUAGAGACGCCAUCUUAAUUUCUUUGCUCCUGUAUUUCAGAUAUUACUACUAAGUAAGAUUUGCUUUGAGUAUCCUGAUAUUCUUGCUGCUGAAUGUUCCCCAAUACUGCAUUCUACACUAUUUAUGAAUAUAUAUAUAUAUAUAUAUAUAUAUAUAUAUAUAAUCUGCCUGAUUAUUAAUCUGUUCUUUGUUUCGCUUCCAUGGUUUGGUAACAUGGUUGCCUCUUAUUAGCAUAUGACUUCAGACUCAAAUUCUUCCUCAUCUCCUUAGACCAUGACUUAUCAUACAAUCCCUACCUGUGUGAAUUUCGCAGCUGAAUUCUCAAGUGUUAACUGACUCCUAAACCACCCCUCUUCUUUUUAAAAAAUCCCAUAUAUAAUAAAAAACAGAACUUGGAGAUCAUUAACCAUGGCAUGAACAUAUUGUAGAUCAAAUGUAUACAAGCAGAAUAGGACGGUGUAAUGGAGACUCGCUUAAUUUGCCUAAAUAUCAUUCUUCCCUUUCAAAGAAACAUCAUGCACUGUGGUAGUCAAAGUUCAAGGUAUAAUUUCUCACUUGGCAAUAUACUAUUCUACAAUUUACAAGACUUCCUGAGCAUUUACUUCUACAUCACAACUAGUGUUGUGCUUAAUAUUUCUUCCGCAUUUUUUCAGCCAUGCAAUUUAUGAGAAAACCAACAGCAUUUAAGAAAUACACAAGGGGACAGAAAAUGUCAGAGAAAUUCUUACGGGUAUGCCACAGUAUUUUUAUUGCUCUUGCCUUGCUUUCAAAGUGGCCAAGCGUUGUUUGUGAGUGUCCUACCCAUUCUACAAAUCAGCUCUCUGGCACUUUGCAUCCCCCCAGGUGCUUGUGUUUUCUAAAUACGCCAUGGCAUCCUUAACUGGGAUUUCCUGUAAACACAGGAAGGUGCGGAAGCUGCAUACAGAGUACCUGGCAGCUGUUUUACAAUUGAAUCUUCAUGUUUUGCUUUGAUCUUUCAAGAAGUAAGUGAAGUUUUUCCUUCAAGGUAACUUCCAUUAAAACAAAACAAGUGAUCACACCAAUCUCAAGGAAUUCACUAGCCAGCUUCUCGUGCUUCAAAUGAAACUCUGAAGAAGACACUGGGCAUUUCCAGACUGAAUCCCAACCCUAAAAGAGUGACAAUCACAUACCAACAAAUUCAGGUAGCACAAUUAUAAUUGACUGGGAGGUUUUGCACAACAAACCAGCUUCCUCCAAAGAUUGAACUUUUUGCAAUAAGCAAGGUGAUAGGAAGAUGCCCUGGAAAGUGUGGGAUAACACUUGCUUUGAUGCACCAUUGUGUUACUUUUCCAUAAAUAAGAACACAUACUCAUGAAGUAGCCAUUGCUGUCUAAUUUCCCUGUAAACAAAUCAAGAUGAAUGCUCAAUAAACAGGUCACAUGGAAGCACCAAUUUUGAGGUAGCUAUGGUUUGUUUUGUUUGUUUGUUUGUUUGUUGUAUAUCAGGAAAUGCAAGCAACUAGGGAAGAGGUAGAGUGCUGAAAAAAUGUUUAUUGGAAAGAAGCAUUCGCAUACCAGCCAGGGCCACCUAGCAACAAGAAAGUAAGCUCAACCAAAUGUGCACCAGAAUCCUGAAGGAAUUCAAAAGCUCCUUGAGCAUGAAGGAGCAAAUAAAUAAAUAAAUAAAUAGAGGCCUCUUUCACAGGGGAAGAGAUCUUUUACAAAAUUGAGGAACAGGUUUUGGCACAGCACUAAUAUAAACUAAGGGCAUGUAAAACCCAGAGGCAACCUGAUAAUUAAAUUAAUUGCUCAGUUGUCAUGUAGCCAACACACAAGAUAUUAAAAAGUCGAGUGUCUGAUUCCACUUCAUAUGCACAUGCCCAUACAAUGUAUUGUCUUAAAGUGUGUGCAUCGUUUGGAGCUCUUUAGCCAAGUGUUAUUUUAUAAUGUGGUUAAGGUACUUGCAGGGUUUUUCUCAAAGACUUCUCCAAAUCUUAUCAUUAAGCCACUAUAAAACAUCAAAAAACAAAACAAAAACCUCAAGCUAAAUUACUUUGUAUACAAUGCUUAUUAUGUCUCACUUCAAAGCAGAUCUCACAUGAAGAUCAUAUAUAUCAGAAAAGGAGAGGGCAGAGACAGGGUGGUUUAUACUGAAAGGAGGAAAAGGCAUUUACAGAACAGAACGCAGGUGUUGGGGGGACAGUAAGCUGUUAUAUUCUUGCCUGUUUAACUCUAUAUCUAAAGUUGUCUAAUAUAGAGUAGUCACUUGAAGCUGUAGAGAAUGAAAUCUUGUCCCUUCAGUUUUGCAGUUAAUGCAUCUCCUCCUUUCACCAUUCAUAGGACAGCAUUGCUCAGCCUGGUGUUCUCCAGAUGUUGUGGACCACAACUCCCAUCAGCACCAGCCAGCAUAGGCAGUGGAUAGGAAGGAUGGGAGCUGUAGCCCAAAAUUAGGAGAAGUUGGCGUAUGAGAUCCAUAGUGUACAGCAUCUUAGUGUGAAAUGGGCUGCAGAAUAGUGUGUCUCAGUGAUGAAAUGUUGCCUGCUCUUAGCACAACAAAGGUGACAUUUAAGCAGUGAUUGUCUUAGCCAACAUACAGCUUUAUGGCAACCAUUUUCUAAUCUUAAUUACAGAGUCCCUGAAUGUAGUAUAAUUUGUGCCAAAAACUAGUUCACACAUGUAAUUUGAAAGAAGUCUGGCAUCUUGCUCUCAAACUUACUUUGUGCAGUGAUUAUUUUUUAAAGGCAACCAAUAAGUGACACAUUCCCCCUGUUUUGAAAAACAGAAAUGGACUUUUAAUGCCUAUCUAGCCAGUCAAACUAAUGUGUGUUUUCUGUAUAACAACCAAAUGAGAAUCAUUAUCAGCAAACAUUGUUUGAGGUAAGCUCAAAAACCAAAGCAAUGUGAUAUUUGAGUUAGUUUCGCAUGCAACAAAAAACCCCAGGUUGAGUUCCUGGCAUUUCUCAGUACAGAGAGUUUCUGAAACCCAAGACAAUUACUGCCAGUCAAGGAAGCAGUAAAAUGAGCCAAAUCUGCAAGUAAGUAAGUUGCUAUGGACCUUUGCUUGUGAACAUACUUGUGAAUAGACAUUGCAAAAGAAUCGGCCCAUAAUAAAGGGAAUUGCUAGAUUAAUUCUUUGUAAGUCACCAGAAGGCCACAAGUUUCUUAUCCCUUCUCUACAAUACAAUCAACAUGAAAGAAAGAAAGAAAGAAAGAAAGAAAGAAGCCAACUCAGGACACGUUGUGUUAAGCCAGGACACUCUUAAUGUGCCCUUUUCAUAUCCCCUACAUCUGUGCAUCAUGCCUGGUUAAUCACCAUAUUGUGCUUAUUUCUUAGGCAGUUCUUAUACAUGCGGGCCCUACUGACAUUUUUCAGUUAUUACUAGGAGUUAUUUUGGAGCCUGCUGUGAGCUGUGAUGCAGUGGCUGCUGCUGCUGCUGCUGCUUUGGUGAAGACAUAGUUACGAGGUGGAUUUCAGCCUAAAGGUAUACAUAUGUUCCUGCUGCAAAUAACUGUUUGGGGAAGAGAGUUUUGCUACUGAUACUUAGUCACAUUGCCAUUAGCAAUAACUUUUUGCUGCCUUCCAAAGAGUUUCUGUCACUGCAGGCUGAGAGGAUAAAUGUCCACUCUUCAAGUUUCCGUGUCUAGAGCACAUCACUUGUUGUUGGUCUUUUCAGAUUUCCCUGAUGGGCAGAGGCUGCCUUUUUGGCUUCAGCAGAAAAAUAGGGUCCACAUUUAUUGUUGGACUACAGCUCUACAGUAACCAUCCCUGCCUGCUGGCCACGCAGGCUGGGGCUGAUGGGAGUUGGAGUCCAACAACAUUUGGAAGUCCACACAUCCAAGAUAUAGAGAAAAGAAGCAUAUCAAAGGCAGUUCUCUAAUCAGCUUAACUACAAUACAAUACAAUCGCUAAAAGAAAUAAUUGCAUGAACUCUUCCAGGAUGAAAAUGCUUAGAAAGCUUUAUUUGCACGUGGUCCAAAGUCUUAAUUUGUUUUACCAUUGUGCAAAUAUUCAUGGAAGCAGAAACUCAGUUUCUUGUUUUUAAAAGCCUUCUGCAAAUGACAAUGUGCAGAAAGUUUUAUAGUCUUUAUCUGGUUCAUGCUCACAGGAACCAGGCAAGAUGGAACACAGGAAUCCUAGGCUUAUAAAUGAAAAAAUGGGAAAACAUUCAGUAACUUAGUUAUUAAUACGAUUUUAUGCUGCUUUUCCUCAUGAAAAAGUUCACAAAGUGGUCCUAAAAAUCCAACUGCAACAUUAAGCAGUACAAUACAAUUGAUGAAAUUUAAACAACUGAAACAGAAGCAAUGUGAUAAAGCAUACUAUAAUAUUAAGUCAUCAUAAAACUGACAGAAUCGGACUGAAUUAAAAUGUAAAAAUCUGUAGAUUGGAUCAGCAACUUGUCCAAGGCCAACUCAUCUGGAACCCCUUUCAAAGGCUGUACAAAAAUAGUAAAGUAUUAUGUGUCUUUCAUGUUUUGGGGAUACUAAGAUUCCAAAGCGUAACAAUGGUUGAAAUUACUAUAGUCUCAUCUGACCUUCUCAUUUCGCAGUACAAAAUUCAUUAACAAUAUAUUCCGAGAGGCAGUAGCUCAGGUGGCUUUCAAAUGAGUAAGAGAAAUCCACUUGAUCAUCACGAAAGCUCGACUUCCGGUCGAGCCACGGACCCAUCGCAAGCGGGAUUUUCUCAGUAAGAGAAAGUCCGGGUUCUCAAGGGUAAAAGGGGGUGCUACAGGGCGUGAUAGCCCCCCAAAACCCCUCUGGAGGGAAACCAGAGGGUCAGGAUCCCAGCGGAGCCGUUUGCAGAUCGCCCGGCCACCAGGUAACUCUGUAAUAGGAGCGAAGAGAGCGGCGGGCGGAGAAAGCAGGCACCAGGAAGCCGUUGUCUCACCCUCGAGAACGCAGCCCCAGGCUUGCAGGGUGAGUGACCGAUUCUCAAAAGCAAUCAAUCGGAGCCUAAUUUGGAUUACAAUUGGAAUAUGAAAGAAAGGCUUUGAAAAAAAAAAGGAGAUAAAAAAGAGGUCAGUUUUGACUGCAAUCGGAGAGGAGCGCAAGACUACGAGUGGAGCGUGGAGCGGAGGUUGGUAAAACGGCAAGCGGUUUGAGUUUCUCCCUCUUAGAGAACUUGUUAAAAGUGAGAUAAAUUGUUGCAAAAGUAACAAAAAGUUGCAGAAAAAGAGGGUAACUACUUUGUGACUUUAAAAGGUCUUUGAUACAACGAACGGUCUGAGCGAAGUUAGAAAGAAAGAAAGUUACUUCUUGGUACUUUCGGUUUUGGAAAAAAAACUGCGCAACGAAAUAGAACUUUUGUUUCUCCAUUUUAAGUUGAAGGAAGUCAUCCAGCGACAAAAAAUAUAAUAAAGGGAUGGAAAGACAAUAUUGAACAGUAAUUUUUUUUCUUAUAUGAUUGGAUACCUCUGCAUUUAAUUUAAUUAAAUUUGAACGUUUAAAUAUAAAAGGAAAGAAAAAAGGACUAUGUUGGAAUGAGGCUAUCUACCCAAGUUGUUUUUGCUUUUUUUUUUUUUGCUUUUUUUUGUGAGUCCGCAGAAUGAACUGAGAAAGAACAGCUUAGCUGUCUGUCUUCAGUACUAUAUUUUUAUUUGGAGCUAAGGAAAAUUGGAGCUGAACUAAUCACUCCUCCGUGUUUCAUUUUCAUUUUUAUUUUUCAUUUCCCAUUAUUGGAUUAGUCUGGAAUGUCAAACUAAAGAUCACUCUUCUUUUUCUCUUCUCCCUCUGUUUUUACAUCUGAACUUAAAAUAUUACUGUUUUCACAUUUGAACUCAAAUAUCACUCCAAAAUAAGGAGACUGGCAGCCUUUACAAUUAUUGGUGGUCAGACUCCUUUAGAUACUUCUUCUUUAUUUCCUACUUCUGGAUACACUUGGUGCCCCUUGGACAUUUCUGGAUAUAAUUGGAACACCUAUCAGUAUUUUUAAUAACUUUGGCCACAUAAUUGGAUUAUAAUUUUGGGAAUACAAUAUAUAACCAUUGGAUUACAAAAAUUUAGACAGUACAGCAGCAUUAUUCGGAAGGUAUUUCUUCAAUAAGAAGUCGGUAUGGAUAUAGCCUAAGUGGUGGCAAGAAGAAAGAAGAAAGGAAGUUAAUUUCUUUUUUGCAGUGGGAGAUUGAUCUUUCAAAAGUGUGAAUCUUAAAAAUUUAUUGGUGUUCCCCCCUAUAAGUAUAUAUUUGUGAAAACUAUUUUGGAAAAACUGAUAUACAUAAAUUGAGUAAUAUUUGGGUUUAAGUGCAUGAGAAUUGGGAAGGGUAAAAAUUCUUAUUUUUUUCUUUUGACGCCUUUCUUUGAAAAGAAGUGAUUUUAUGAUUUAUAUUAAGAUUGAAUAUUGAUUGUUAUUGAUCGUAUAUAUAUUGAUUGUCUUUGACUGUAUAUCAUAUCAGGUGUUCGGAAAUUAAUUACAAUGUCUCAUACACAAAAGAAAGGGGGGGGGGACACCGGUAGAGAGGAGAGGAUCAAAACAAGAAGCGGACUUUAAAGGAGAGAUUUUGAAAAUGUUUGCAGAGAUCAAUUCCAAUAUUAAGCAGAGUGAAAAAAAUAUAGAAGCAAAAUUAGAGCAAAUGGACAAGAGAAUGGGCCAAAUGGACAAAAAAAAUUAAUGUUACAGUUAAUGAACUGAAAGGGCAAUUGAAGGAUGUGAGUAAGAGGACACAGAAUUUGGAAGAGGGGUUGAAAAAGACAAGAUUGGAAAUGAGGGAAGUGAAGAAGGAGGAAGAAAAAAUAAGGACGGGAAUGUCGGAAAUUAAUAAAACACAAGAGGAAGUCUGGGAUGCGAUUUCUAUGAAUGAACUCAGGCAGAGAGAAGUGAAUUUAAGAUUGAGGAUGGUUCCAGAGGUGCAAGGAGAAAAUAUUAAAGAGAAGUUAAUAAAAGAGAUUGCACAAUGGAUGGAGAUGAAUGUAGAUGAGGUGGCAAGAUCGGUGCAAAGUGCUUUUCGAAUGAAGAUAAGAUCGGCUAAGGCAAGAAAAUUUCCGGGGGACUGCCUGAUUACCUUUAAGGACAGAGAGAUGAGAAAUUUGAUACUCCAGAAAAAUAGAGAGAACAGGCUGAACAUUGAAGGAAGCUACAUAAAGACAUCCCGAUCAGGCUACUUAAACGGAGAGACCCAUAUAAACCAACAGUUCAGAUUUUAAGGAAGAAUAAUAUAGAAUUCAGAUGGGAAUACCCGGAAGGAAUCUCUUUUAUUUACAAAAGUAAAAGACAUAGACUCACGAGCCCGGAAGAAAUAGGAAAAAUUUUAAGAAAAUAUAAAGAGUUGCGAAGUGAUGAGGAAGAAACAAGAGAAGUGGAACCAGGAAUGGAGGCGGCAGGAGGAGUGGACCCGGAUGAACAAGAGGAAGAAAGAAAGAGGGAAGAAGAAGAGAAAGAAGAAGAAGAAGAAGAAGAAGAAGAAGAAGAAGAAGAAUUAUAAAAUUUGUAAUAAAGAAUUCAAAAUGGCAAAAAUGGAGCUAAAAUUAUGGACUUGGAAUAUUAAUGGGUUAACGAUUAAAAAAACGAAAUAAAGUCGAACAACAUUUAAAAAAGAAAAAUUUGGAUAUCAUUUGUCUACAAGAAACUCACGUGGCAAGAAGACAUAAAAAAAAUUUAAUUAAUAAAAGACUGGGAAAUGAAUUUAUAUCUUCGGAUAGGAGUAAAAAAAGAGGAGUAGUUUUGUACAUCAGAAAAAAAAUUGAAGCUCAACAAAUUUUUUAAGAUGAAGAAGGCAGAGUUAUGGCAGUUCAAAUUAAGUGGCAAGGAGAAAAAAUAAUAAUUGUCGGGAUCUAUGCACCAAAUGGAAACAAGACAGAAUUUUAUAAAAAUUUAGAAGAAAGAUUGUUCGAAUAUAUGGAUCAGAAAAUUAUAAUAAUGGGAGACCUGAAUGGAGUGGUGUCAAUGGAAAUGGACAGACUGAGAACAACAGGGGUGAGCAAAGAUGGGAAAUUUUUCUCAAUGACUAAGAAUUGUAAUUUGAUUGACAUUUGGAGACUUAGACACCCACUGGAGAAACAAUUCACAUUUUAUUCAGAACCAAACCAAUCCAUGUCAAGAAUAGACCAGGUAUGGGUCUCAAAUGAAUUAACUCCAAGAAUCUCGAAAAUUGAAAUUCAACCACGAGUGAUUUCGGACCAUAGUGCAAUAAAAUUUGAACUAAAGGGUUUUGAAGAAAGAACGUUUAGAUGGAGAAUAAACGACUAUCUUCUAGAUGAUCAGAAAGUAGUAGAAAAUGCUCAAAAGAACCUGUCGGAAUAUUUUGUAAAUAACUGUAAUAAGGGAACAAAAAUGAGUACGGUCUGGGACGCCAGCAAAGCUGUGAUGAGGGGCUUUUUCAUUCAACAAAAUGCCCUGAAAAAUAAAAAUAGGGAAAAGAAUAAAAAGGAAUUAUUGAGACAAAUAAUGGAGAAUGAACAAAAAUUGAUAAAAAAAACCAAAUAACGAAAAGAUAAGACAAAACAUAAAGACUUUACAAACACAGUUUGCAAUGAUAAUAAAUAAGGAAGUAGAAGGGAAUAUAAAAAGAAUGAAACAAAGAAAUUUUGAAUUUGCGAAUAAAUCAGGAAAAUGGCUGGCGUGGCAGAUAAAGAAAAGAAAAGAGCAGAAUACAGUAAACAAAAUCAUCAUUGAAGGUACGGAAAUAGAAGACCCAAAAGAAAUUAGAAAAGGAUUCCUGGACUUUUAUAGACAACUGUACAAAAACAAAGAAAAGAAUAAUAUGAGGAAGAUAGAAAGAUUCUUAAAGGAAAAAGAAGUGCAGAAGAUCCCGACGGAGAAAAAAGAUAACUUGAAUGCCCCAACUGAAAUUGAAGAAAUUAAAGAGGCGAUAAGCGAAUUGAGAAAGGGGAAAGCCCCAGGACCAGAUGGAUUCACAGCUAGAUACUAUAAGGAAAUGAGAAGCACCCUACUUGUACCACUGAAAGAAGUUGUAAACAAUAUCUUGAAGAAUAGGGAAAUACCGGAAACUUGGAAAGAAGCCUUUAUUACACUUAUCCCAAAACAAGAAUCGGACUUAACGCAAGUUAAAAAUUAUAGGCCUAUUUCGCUGUUGAACACUGAUUACAAAAUCUUUGCAAGUGUAUUAGCAAAGAGAAUGAAGAAAGUACUGCAAGACCUUAUACAUAAGGAUCAGGCGGGUUUCCUUCCUGGCAGACAGAUGAAAGAUAAUAUAAGAAAUAUAAUAAAUAUAAUAGAAUAUCUGAAUGCCAGGAAUGAGAAACAAGCCAUGUUAAUCUUUGUGGAUGCGGAAAAGGCCUUUGACAAUAUAUCAUGGAACUUUAUGUUAAAAAAUUUGGAACAUAUGGACGUAGGUACGGAUUUUUUAAUGGAAUAAAGGCAAUAUAUACAGAGCAAAAAGCGAAGUUGAUAGUAAACAAUUAUACAACGGAAGACAUUAAAAUAACAAAGGGUACAAGACAAGGAUGCCCAUUAUCACCAUUAUUAUUCAUCUUGGUGCUGGAGGUUCUGCUAAAAUCAAUAAGAAAAAAUGAAGAAAUAAAAGGGGUGUCUGUAGGGAAAAAUGAGUAUAAAGUCAAAGCAUUUGUGGACGAUUUGGUAAUGACGAUAGAAGAGCCAGCAGGAAGUGUUAAAAGAACCCUAGAAGAAAUAGAACAAUUUGGUCAAGUUGCAGGUUUUUAUUUAAACAAGAGAAAGACCAAAAUUAUUGCGAAAAAUAUGGACCAAGAAUUAAUAGAGGAAAUGCAACAAAGUACAGGGCUGGAAGUGGUGAACAAAGUGAAAUAUUUAGGAGUAUGGUUAACCCCCAAGAAUAUUGAUUUGUUUCAAAAUAACUAUGUACCUGUUUGGAAUGGGAUAAAAAGGGAUCUGGAGGUGUGGGGAAGAUUGAAGCUAUCUUUUUGGGGAAGGAUAUCUACGAUAAAGAUGAGUGUGCUGCCAAGGAUGUUAUUUCUAUUCCAAUCACUACCGAUAAUUAAAGGGGCAUCAAUUUUCAAAGAAUGGCAAAAAAAUAGUUUCAAGAUACAUCUGGCAGGGCAAGAAGCCAAGGAUUCAGUUUAAGUUAUUAACAGAUGCGAGAGAAAGAGGUGGCUUCGCCCUGCCAGACUUGAAACUAUAUUAUGAAGCAUCAUGCCUCUGUUGGUUAAAGGAAUGGAUUAAAUUAGUGAAUGGAGAGUUGUUAGAUUUAGAAGGAUUUGAUAAUAGAUUCGGGUGGCAUGCAUAUCUGUGGUAUGAAAAGAAAAAAUUCAUAAAGGAUUUGAAAACCACAUCUUCUGAAGAUCAUUGAUAGAGGUGUGGGAGAGGUAUAAAAAUUUGUUGGAACCAAGACUCCCCCAUUGGCUUUCACCAUUGGAAGUGAUGAGUGUGAAAAAGAUAAACAUGAGGGGGAGGUGGAUAACUUAUGGAGAAUUGAUAGUAAGAGAGGGGGGGGAAAUGGAAAAUGAAGACUUAUGAAGAGGUGAAAGAAUUUGUUUAUGAUUGGUUGCACUACUACCAGAUUAGUGAAAUGUUUAAAAAAGACUGUAAAAUGUGUGGAUAUGAAGGAAAAGAAUCAAAAUUUCAAAUAGAGGUAUUGAAUAAUGAGUAUAAAAAUUUGUCUAAAAUGUAUAGAAUGUUGUUGGAAUGGCAUACAAAAGAUGAAGAGGUGAAAUCAGUAAUGAUACAUUGGGCCAGAGACUUUGGUUAUAAUAUACAAUAUGAUGAUUGGACGAAAUUAUGGAAUGAAAGGUUAAAAUUUACGGCGUGUACCGCGUUGAAGGAAAAUGUAAUGAAAAUGGUAUAUAGAUGGUACAUAACGCCAGUUAAAUUAGGUAAAAUGUAUAAAACAUGUAACAAGUGUUGGAAAUCUAAAGAAAAGAAGGAACUUUCUAUCAUAUGUGGUGGGAAUGCAAAAAGGUGAAAGGCUUCUGGGAAAUGAUAUAUAAGGAAUUGAAAAAGAUGUUGAGAUAUACAUUUGUUAGAAAACCAGAAGCCUUCCUACUAGGAUUGGUAGGUUAUGAAAUUAAUAGAAAAGAUUGUAAACUUUUCCAAUACGCUGUAACAGCUGCAAGAAUACUUCUGGCGCAAAGAUGGAAGCAGGAAGAAAUUCCAACUGUGGAAGAAUGGAGAAUGAAACUGACUGAAUAUGCGGAAUUGGAUAAACUGACUGGGAAGAUUCGAUAUCAGAAAGACCAAAAGUUUAUCGAGGACUGGGGGAAAUUUACAGAUUAUCUGAAAAGCAUAUGUGAUGCACAGACAACGCUUGUUGGUUUUGAAGAGUCUCUGUGAAAAAUUAAGAAAUAUUGUAAAAAAGAAAGUAGGAGAAAGGAAGAGGAAUGGUUAAAGGCAAUAAUAAGUUCAGAAAUGCGUUAACAAUAGAAAUUUUAACAAAAGAUUGGCAGAGAAACUGAG
This is a non-coding RNA of Podarcis lilfordi (Lilford's wall lizard), 26461 nucleotides long. The record is from the annotation of a GenBank genome assembly. Lineage: Eukaryota; Metazoa; Chordata; Lepidosauria; Squamata; Lacertidae.